Molecule: ribosomal RNA, 517 nt
Filed under: uncultured Desulfobulbus sp.
Lineage: Bacteria; Pseudomonadati; Thermodesulfobacteriota; Desulfobulbia; Desulfobulbales; Desulfobulbaceae
Description: bacterial SSU rRNA
Rfam family: Bacterial small subunit ribosomal RNA
Source: RNAcentral
AGGCUUUGAUCCUGGCUCAGAACGAACGCUGGCGGCGUGCUUAACACAUGCAAGUCGAACGCGAAAGGGGCUUCGGUCCUGAGUAGAGUGGCGCACGGGUGAGUAACGCGUAGAUAACCUGUCAUAUUGUCUGGGAUAACAUCUCGAAAGGGGUACUAAUACCGGAUAGCCUUGUUUUUUAUAAGGGGAACAAGGAAAGGUGGCCUCUGAUAUAAGCUACCGCAAGAUGAGGGGUCUGCGUACCAUUAGCUAGUAGGUGGGGUAAUGGCCUACCUAGGCGACGAUGGUUAGCGGGUCUGAGAGGAUGAUCCGCCACACUGGCACUGAAACACGGGCCAGACUCCUACGGGAGGCAGCAGUGAGGAAUAUUGCGCAAUGGGGGCAACCCUGACGCAGCGACGCCGCGUGAGUGAGGAAGGCCUUCGGGUCGUAAAGCUCUGUCAAGGGGGAAGAAGUGUGUACUGGUUAAUACCCAGUAUAUUUGACGGUACCCUCUCGGAGGAAGCCCCGGCUACUA